UGGGGGAAGUGGCGAAAGGGGCAGUAAGGCGUGGGUAACCUACCCCGGGGACGUGGAUAGCCGGCCUAACGGCCGGGUAAUACGCGGCGAUUCAGCGAGAGGGCAUCCUUUUGCUGGGAAACGAAUUUCGCCUCGGGAGGGGCUCACGUGAUAUUAGCUUGUUGGCGGGGUAACGGCCCACCAAGGCGAAGAUGUCUAGCGGGUGUGAGAGCACGACCCGCGCCACUGGCACUGAGACACUGGCCAGACACCUACGGGUGGCUGCAGUCGAGGAUCUUUGGCAAUGGGCGCAAGCCUGACCAAGCGACGCCGCGUGUGCGAUGAAGGCCUUCGGGUUGUAAAGCACUGUCGAGGGGGAUAAAGCCAGCAAUGGUUGAUUGAUCCCUGGAGGAAGCACGGGCUAAGUUCGUGCCAGCAGCCGCGGUAAGACGAACCGUGCGAACGUUGUUCGGAAUCACUGGGCUUAAAGGGCGCGUAGGCGGCAGACCAAGUCCGGGGUGAAAGCCCCCAGCUCAACUGGGGAAGUGCCUUGGAUACUGAUUUGCUCGAGGGAGGUAGGGGUCGAGGGAACUUCUGGUGGAGCGGUGAAAUGCGUUGAUAUCAGAAGGAACGCCGGUGGCGAAAGCGCUCGACUGGAUCUCUUCUGACGCUGAGGCGCGAAAGCUAGGGGAGCAAACGGGAUUAGAUACCCCGGUAGUCCUAGCCCUAAACGAUGGGUACUAGAUUGUGGACUAGUCAUGGGUUCACAGUCGAAGCAAAAGUGUUAAGUACCCCGCCUGGGGAGUAUGGUCGCAAGGC
RNAcentral lists this ribosomal RNA (798 nucleotides) under uncultured bacterium. RNAcentral describes it as "bacterial SSU rRNA". It matches the Rfam family "Bacterial small subunit ribosomal RNA", at positions 87 to 894 of the family's 1533-position model. The record is from RNAcentral.